This is a long non-coding RNA of Mus musculus (house mouse), 1229 nucleotides long. RefSeq annotates it as predicted gene, 33641. Lineage: Eukaryota; Metazoa; Chordata; Mammalia; Rodentia; Muridae. The record is from RefSeq and is a predicted model, not a curated record. The transcript has 4 exons.
UCGGGACCUCUGGGAGAGUAGUCAGUGCUCUUAACCGCUGAGCCAUCUCUCCAGCCCCAGACCACAGUCUUAAACCCACCCUGUGUACUUGAUGCCCGUUCCCGUGGGUCUGCUUCAAGCCCAGGCCCUUCUCUUGGAGCUGCGUGGCCUCAGUCUUGCCUGUGUUGUCCCACGCCUGAUCUUGAAGUAGUUUGGGCCUCCUGUGUCACAUUCCCGCGGAAUACAUAUUGGACAGCCCAGGGGAAGAGACCCCACGUCUCCUGCUUUCAUCAUGAACAGAGCUCGGCAGAGAACCCUUCGCUGCUCCAGCUGAGCGGAAGCUGCAGAAGCUGCGGUCUUGACAGACCACCCAGAUGGCUUGGAUAAUUUGAUAAUGCUUGGGGGGAAGCUGCACAAAGGAAAGGCCUUCACCCACACAUUAAGUGCUGACCUAGGCUAGACCUGCCUCUGCCCGGAAAGUGAGUCAUUGUGGGUUUCUGUGGUAUUCCGCGGCACUGAGGCAAACACAUGUCCCGGCCAAGCCCUAGUGACACAGGGUCUCCCUAGCACCCUGCCCAGUACUGAGCCUGUGAUUGCGCUACCCCAGUCUCCUGGAGUUGUGGCAUUACAAACAUGUCCAGUCUCCCACAACCCACGUCUCUGCUGCCAGAACAGUGACAAAACACACAUAUGUACUAAAGAGUGUCCGGAACCUCUAUCAGGGGCACAGAAGGCGGAGAAUGGAGCUGACUGCUGCAUCUAACCCCAGCUACAAGUAUCAUUGAACAAGAACAGCCCCACCCAGACCACCUUGGAUCUUGGAAGUCUGGACCUUGGGAACUACGAGGAACCAGUUUCUGUUCAUUGUGAACUACCCCUUCUCUGAUCUGCCGUGGCUCAGACUACUUCAGCACGUUCAGGGGCUGAAACUUCAGCCUCGCCCUUGGGUUGAUCACCAAUGGCUCAGAGCAAAUCAAUCCUGCUUAAGAAAAUGGAGCCUCCAAGAAAAUCCAGUCUAAGACCAUCAGACCAUCUAAGGAGCCGGGCAAGUGAAGAUGCAUAGGAGGUUAUCAGCAACAUGCCCCAGACCACCCACCUCCCCAUGUUCCUCUGCCAUGUUCUGUAUUCCUUGUAAUACCCAUUCUUUUUAUUUAUUUAUUUAUCUAUGUAUUUAUUGAGUCGAGACAUGGUUUCAAAUAUCCCAGACUUGCUUCAAACUUGUAUGUAGCCAUAAAAAACUUCGAACUUCA